Molecule: ribosomal RNA, 417 nt
Filed under: uncultured diatom
Lineage: Eukaryota; Bacillariophyta
Description: bacterial SSU rRNA
Rfam family: Bacterial small subunit ribosomal RNA
Source: RNAcentral
CCUACGGGAGGCAGCAGUGGGGAAUUUUCCGCAAUGGGCGAAAGCCUGACGGAGCAAUCUCGCGUGAGGGAUGACUGCCUAUGGGUUGUAAACCUCUUUUUUCAGGGAGGAAUAAAUGACGUGUACCUGAAGAAUAAGCAUCGGCUAACUCCGUGCCAGCAGCCGCGGUAAGACGGAGGAUGCAAGUGUUAUCCGGAAUCACUGGGCGUAAAGCGUCUGUAGGUGGUUUAAUAAGUCAACUGUUAAAUCUUGAAGCUCAACUUCAAAAUCGCAGUCGAAACUAUUGGACUAGAGUAUAGUAGGGGUAAAGGGAAUUUCCAGUGGAGCGGUGAAAUGCGUAGAGAUUGGAAAGAACACCGAUGGCGAAGGCACUUUACUGGGCUAUUACUGACACUCAGAGACGAAAGCUAGGGUAGC